UAAAGGGACACUCCAGGCUCCCACACACGUUAGAUGCACUGUGUAGGUUAGGUUACAGUUAGUUAUACUGGGUGGGUUUAUAUUAUUAAAGGGACAGUCCAGGCUCCCACACACGUUAGAUGCACUGUGUAGGUUAGGUUACAGUUAGUUAUACUGGGUGGGUUUAUAUUAUUAAAGGGACACUCCAGGCUCCCACACACGUUAGGUGCGCUGUGUAGGUUAGGUUACAGUUAGUUAUACUGGGUGGGUUUAUAUUAUUAAAGGGACACUCC
Molecule: non-coding RNA, 272 nt
Organism: Pelobates cultripes (western spadefoot toad)
Lineage: Eukaryota; Metazoa; Chordata; Amphibia; Anura; Pelobatidae
Source: the annotation of a GenBank genome assembly